RNAcentral lists this ribosomal RNA (1487 nucleotides) under uncultured prokaryote. RNAcentral describes it as "partial 16S ribosomal RNA". It matches the Rfam family "Bacterial small subunit ribosomal RNA". The record is from RNAcentral.
AGAGUUUGAUCCUGGCUCAGGAUGAACGCUAGCGGCAGGCUUAACACAUGCAAGUCGAGGGGUAACAGGGUGCUUGCACCGCUGACGACCGGCGCACGGGUGCGUAACGCGUAUACAAUCUACCUUGUAGAGGGGGAUAGCCCGGGGAAACCCGGAUUAAUACCCCAUGGUAUUAUAGAAUAGCAUUAUUUUAUAAUUAAACAUUUAUGGCUAAGAGAUGAGUAUGCGUCCUAUUAGUUAGUUGGUAAGGUCACGGCUUACCAAGGCAUCGAUAGGUAGGGGUCCUGAGAGGGAGUUCCCCCACACUGGUACUGAGACACGGACCAGACUCCUACGGGAGGCAGCAGUGAGGAAUAUUGGGCAAUGGAGGCAACUCUGAACCAGCCAUGCCGCGUGCAGGAAGACUGCCCUAUGGGUUGUAAACUGCUUUUAUACAGGAAGAAACGAUCUCUCGUGAGGGGUUUUGACGGUACUGUACGAAUAAGCACCGGCUAACUCCGUGCCAGCAGCCGCGGUAAUACGGAGGAUCCAAGCGUUAUCCGGAAUCAUUGGGUUUAAAGGGUCCGUAGGUGGAUAAAUAAGUCAGAGGUGAAAUCCUGCAGCUCAACUGUAGAAUUGCCUUUGAAACUGUUUAUAUUGAGUCAUUAUGAAGUAGUUAGAAUAUGUAGUGUAGCGGUGAAAUGCAUAGAUAUUACAUAGAAUACCAAUUGCGAAGGCAGAUUACUAAUAAUGUACUGACACUGAUGGACGAAAGCGUGGGUAGCGAACAGGAUUAGAUACCCUGGUAGUCCACGCCGUAAACGAUGGUCACUAGCUGUUUGAAUGAACUUCGGUUUGAGUGGCUAAGCGAAAGUGAUAAGUGACCCACCUGGGGAGUACGUUCGCAAGAAUGAAACUCAAAGGAAUUGACGGGGGCCCGCACAAGCGGUGGAGCAUGUGGUUUAAUUCGAUAAUACGCGAGGAACCUUACCAGGGCUUAAAUGUAGAUUGACAGGGGUGGAAACACCUUUUCCUUCGGGCAAUUUACAAGGUGCUGCAUGGUUGUCGUCAGCUCGUGCCGUGAGGUGUCAGGUUAAGUCCUAUAACGAGCGCAACCCCUGUUGUUAGUUGCCAGCGAGUCAUGUCGUGAACUCUAACAAGACUGCCGGUGCAAACCGUGAGGAAGGUGGGGAUGACGUCAAAUCAUCACGGCCCUUACGUCCUGGGCCACACACGUGCUACAAUGGUAGGUACAGAGAGCAGCCACUGGGUGACCAGGAGCGAAUCUAUAAAACCUAUCUCAGUUCGGAUCGGAGUCUGCAACUCGACUCCGUGAAGCUGGAAUCGCUAGUAAUCGGAUAUCAGCCAUGAUCCGGUGAAUACGUUCCCGGGCCUUGUACACACCGCCCGUCAAGCCAUGGAAGCUGGGAGUACCUGAAGUCGGUCACCGCAAGGAGCCGCCUAGGGUAAAACUGGUAACUAGGGCUAAGUCGUAACAAGGUAACCGU